AUACGGAGGGUGCAAGCGUUAUUCGGAAUCACUGGGCGUAAAGGACACGUAGGCGGGAAGCCAAGUCUGAUGUGAAAUCCUACAGCUUAACUGUAGAACUUCAUUGGAAACUGGUUACCUAGAGUAUGGGAGGGGGAGAUGGAAUUAGUGGUGUAGGGGUAAAAUCCGUAGAUAUCACUAGGAAUACCUAAAGCGAAGGCGAUCUCCUGGAACAUAACUGACGCUAAGGCGUGAAAGCGUGGGGAGCAAACAGGAGUAGAUACCCUAGUAGUCC
RNAcentral lists this ribosomal RNA (274 nucleotides) under uncultured bacterium. Its description in RNAcentral is "partial 16S ribosomal RNA". It matches the Rfam family "Bacterial small subunit ribosomal RNA", at positions 523 to 796 of the family's 1533-position model. The record is from RNAcentral.